AGAGUUUGAUCCUGGCUCAGGAUGAACGCUGGCGGCGUGCUUAACACAUGCAAGUCGAACGGUGAAGCAGAGCUUGCUCUGUGGAUCAGUGGCGAACGGGUGAGUAACACGUGAGCAACCUGCCCCUGACUCUGGGAUAAGCGCUGGAAACGGCGUCUAAUACCGGAUAUGAGCUGCGAUCGCAUGGUCAGCAGUUGGAAAGAUUUUUCGGUCUGGGAUGGGCUCACGGCCUAUCAGCUUGUUGGUGAGGUAAUGGCUCACCAAGGCGUCGACGGGUAGCCGGCCUGAGAGGGUGACCGGCCACACUGGGACUGAGACACGGCCCAGACUCCUACGGGAGGCAGCAGUGGGGAAUAUUGCACAAUGGGCGAAAGCCUGAUGCAGCAACGCCGCGUGAGGGAUGACGGCCUUCGGGUUGUAAACCUCUUUUAGCAGGGAAGAAGCGAAAGUGACG
RNAcentral lists this ribosomal RNA (454 nucleotides) under Microbacterium imperiale. Its description in RNAcentral is "bacterial SSU rRNA". It matches the Rfam family "Bacterial small subunit ribosomal RNA", at positions 8 to 474 of the family's 1533-position model. Lineage: Bacteria; Bacillati; Actinomycetota; Actinomycetes; Micrococcales; Microbacteriaceae. The record is from RNAcentral.